Molecule: ribosomal RNA, 2295 nt
Filed under: soil metagenome
Description: bacterial LSU rRNA
Rfam family: Bacterial large subunit ribosomal RNA
Source: RNAcentral
GAACCGCGUGCCUUUUGCAUAAUGAGCCGGCUAGUUAUUUUUAGUGGCGAGGCGAAGCCGAUGAGGCGGUGCCGUAGGGAAACCGAGUCUGAAUAGGGCGACAGUCGCUGGAAAUAGACGCGAAACGGGAUGAUCUAUCCUUGACCAGGAUGAAGGUAGGGUGAAACCUAUUGGAGGUCCGAACCAGUGUGGGUUGAAAACCGCUUGGAUGAGUUGAGGAUAGGGGUGAAAGGCCAAUCAAAUUCCGUGAUAGCUCGUUCUCCCCGAAAUAGCUUUAGGGCUAGCGUCGGAUGUUUCGUCGUGCAGGUAGAGACCUGAAUGGACUAGGGGGCUUACCAGCUUACUGAAUCCAACCAAUCUUCGAAUGGCACGCCGUGAAGUCCGGCAGUCAGACUGCGGGUGAUAAGAUCCGUAGUCGAGAGGGAAAGAACCCAGAUCGCCAGCUAAGGUCCCAAAAUACAUGCUAAGUGGAAAAGGAUGUGGAUGUGCUUAGACAGCCAGGAGGUUAGCUUAGAAGCAGCUAUCCUUUAAAGAAAGCGUAAUAGCUCACUGGUCAAGCGGGUCUGUGCCGACAAUUCAACGGGGCUCAAGCAUGUUACCGAAGCUGCGAACGUAAGUGGUAGGGGAGCAUUCCCUACGUCUGUGAAGGUUGACCGUAAGGACAGCUGGAGACAUGGGAAGAGACUCUGUCGGCAUAAGUAGCGUAAAGACAGGCGAGAACCCUGUCCGCCGUAAGACUAAGGUUUCCAACGCAAGGUCAAUCCGCGUUGGGUUAGUCGGACCCUAAGCCGAGGCCGAAAGGCGUAGGCGAUGGAAGGCUGGUUAAUAUUCCAGCACCAUGAAUACCUCGUUUGUACGAUGCAGGGACGCAGGAAGGUAGGGACGCAGGGCUAUGGAAUGUUCUGCGAAAGGAUCCAAGGGUGGUGCUUAGGGAAGUCCGGGCGCCAUGAGCUCAAGGUUUCUGACGAAAAGUCCUAAUCCUACACUGCCGAGAAAAGCUGCUAAGGAGAGGUAUUUGUGUCCGUACCGCAAACCGACACAGGUAGUCGAGGAGAGAAUCCUCAGGCGUUUGAGAGAACUCUGCUGAAGGAACUCGGCAAAUUAACCCCGUAACUUCGGGAGAAGGGGUACCACGGUAGGGUUCAUAGCCCGAGGUGGUGGCACAUAAAUGUUCCAGGCGACUGUUUAACAAAAACACAGGUCUCUGCAAACUCCAAAGAGGAGGUAUAGGGGCUGACGCCUGCCCGGUGCCGGAAGGUCAAGAGGAGUGGUCAGCGCAAGCGAAGCUACGAAUUUAAGCCCCGGUGAACGGCGGCCGUAACUAUAACGGUCCUAAGGUAGCGAAAUUCCUUGUCGGGUAAGUUCCGACCUGCACGAAUGGCGUAACGAUCUGGGAACUGUCUCCAGCAGAGACUCAGCGAACUUGUAGCACCGGUGAAGAUGCCGGUUACCCGCACUUAGACGGAAAGACCCCGUGCACCUUUACUACACCUUGACAUUGAGGUUGGCGUUGGACUGUGCAGGAUAGGUGGGAGACUAUGAAACUGGCUCGUUAGGGUCGGUGGAGUCACCCUUGAGAUACCACCCUGUUUAACGCUGAUCUCUAACUCGCACCCGUGAUCCGGGUGGAAGACAAUGUCAGGCGGGUAGUUUGACUGGGGCGGUCGCCUCCUAAAGCGUAACGGAGGCGUACGAAGGUUCCCUCAGGCUGUUUGGAAAUCAGCCGCAGAGCGCAAUAGUAUAAGGGAGCUUGACUGCGAGUCAGACACGACGAGCAGGUGCGAAAGCAGGUUAUAGUGAUCCGGUGGUCCCGAAUGGAAGGGCCAUCGCUCAACGGAUAAAAGGUACGCCGGGGAUAACAGGCUGAUCUUGCCCAAGAGUUCAUAUCGACGGCAAGGUUUGGCACCUCGAUGUCGACUCAUCACAUCCUGGGGCUGAAGCAGGUCCCAAGGGUUCGGCUGUUCGCCGAUCAAUAGUGGUACGUGAGUUGGGUUCAGAACGUCGCGAGACAGUUCGGUCCCUAUCUAGUGUGGGCGCAGGAGAUUUGAGAGGACCUGUCCUUAGUACGAGAGGACCGGGAUGGACUGACCUCUGGUGUUCCAGUUGUGCCUCCAGGUGCAAUGCUGGGUAGCUAUGUCGGGAAGUGAGAAGCGCUGAAAGCAUCUAAGCGCGAAACACCCCUCAAGAUGAGAUCUCCCUAUGAGACCCGUGGAAGACCACCACGUUGAUAGGUCGCAUGUGUAAGGCCGGUAACGGCUUAAGCUGAGCGAUACUAAUCGGUCCACAGACUUGACC